UGUCCUGUGCCUCUUUGCCAAAGCCUGGAC
RNAcentral lists this non-coding RNA (30 nucleotides) under Mus musculus (house mouse). The record is from RNAcentral. Lineage: Eukaryota; Metazoa; Chordata; Mammalia; Rodentia; Muridae.